UGAGCUCAAAUUUAAAAUCUGGCAGUUUCACUGUCCGAGUUGUAAUCUAGAGAAGCAUUUUCCGUGUUGGACCGUGUACAAGUCUCUUGGAAUAGAGCGUCAUAGAGGGUGAGAAUCCCGUCCAUGGCACGGACUACCAAUACUUUGUGAUAUGCUCUCAAAGAGUCGAGUUGUUUGGGAAUGCAGCUCAAAACGGGUGGUAAGUUCCAUCUAAAGCUAAAUAUUGGCGAGAGACCGAUAGCGAA
Molecule: ribosomal RNA, 245 nt
Filed under: Lyomyces griseliniae
Lineage: Eukaryota; Fungi; Basidiomycota; Agaricomycetes; Hymenochaetales; Schizoporaceae
Description: partial 28S ribosomal RNA
Rfam family: Eukaryotic large subunit ribosomal RNA
Source: RNAcentral